Molecule: non-coding RNA, 111 nt
Organism: Acanthosepion pharaonis
Lineage: Eukaryota; Metazoa; Mollusca; Cephalopoda; Sepiida; Sepiidae
Source: the annotation of a GenBank genome assembly
AUGACCAUAUCAUAUUAAAAAAACGGUUCUCAUAUGAUCACUGAAGUUAAGCAAUGUUGAGCCUGAUCAGUACCUAGAUCUGUGAGCACUUAGGAAUAAUAGGUUUUGUAA